GUGAUAUAAAUUUACUUUAUGGAACGAAAGCUUGUUUUUAUGGAAGGCCGUACGUCACAAAUUACGUCAUCAUGCGGAUCAGAAACAGACUAGAAAGAGCAGAAUGUUUUCAAUUGCAUAUUUUCUGUAUUUGCAGGGCACUCCAUUAUACCACACUGAUAGCUUCUCCAAGAUUAUAAAUAUGAUACAUGUACACAGGCACAGUUACUUGUCAUCACAAGGAUCAGAAUUCAA
Long non-coding RNA from Saccostrea cuccullata (small rock oyster), 234 nucleotides. RefSeq lists it as uncharacterized. The transcript has 3 exons. Lineage: Eukaryota; Metazoa; Mollusca; Bivalvia; Ostreida; Ostreidae. The record is from RefSeq and is a predicted model, not a curated record.